CCCCUAGAUGUUCUGGGCCGCACGCGCGCUACACUGAACAGUUCAACAAGUCUUAACCUUGGCCGAUAGGUCUGGGUAAUCUUUGAACGCUGUUCGUGAUUGGGAUAGACCUUUGCAAUUAUGGGUCUCCAACGAGGAAUUCCUAGUAAACGCAAGUCAUCAGCUUGCAUUGAUUACGUCCCUGCCCUUUGUACACACCGCCCGUCGCACCUACCGAUUGAAUGGUCCGGUGAAAUCUCGGGACGGCGGCUUGGUCGCUUGCGUCCGACUGCUGAAACUUGAUUAAACCAUAUCAUUUAGAGGAAGGUGAANUCGUANCA
This 320-nucleotide ribosomal RNA is filed under the name uncultured eukaryote. RNAcentral describes it as "partial 18S ribosomal RNA". It matches the Rfam family "Eukaryotic small subunit ribosomal RNA", at positions 1470 to 1796 of the family's 1831-position model. The record is from RNAcentral.